AGGAGGAUCAAAUCAACUCUUAUAACCUUCACCAAUGCAUGUAAUAGAGAAACUUAACUGCCUAAUUAACUCCCCCUAAUUGAGAAUACACCCACCUGAACGGCAUGUAUAAACAAAGAAAAAAAAAAUAAAAAUGAGAAAAAGAAAGACACCACGGACUUACUGAUAAUUCAAUCCCAACUCUUCGGCUCAACAAGACUUCAGAAAGCUCCUUAACUUUAAAGAACUUGAAGAUGCUAAAAGAAAUUAGCAAAGCUAAUUCUUAAAAGAGGAAAAAUCUUUAAUUUUAUUCUUCUCAAAUAUGUGAUUACAACUUAUGGGUGAAUAAGAUGGGUGGAAAAAACUUCCUACAGCCAUCAAAUGUUUUCUGCACAACUGCCACACACGUGGGCUAGGAGACCUGUACUCGUGCGCUUCUAGCUCGUGAUGGGCCUGGGCACAACCUUCACACAUCACGGGCUUGGGUGUGCGACCCACCUUGUUCGCGUCACUACUUCAACAAAUUUCCCUCCUGGACCACUUGGCUUCUCAAGCGGCCCAAUUGCCUUCUCCUCGUGCGCAAGGCCUACUACCUGGACAAUUAGGCUGGACCAAAGGUCGUUGUUGUUGUGGGCCUUGUGACUUCUUGGUUGGGCAUAUAGGUUGGACACCUCACACAUGUGAGUGCCUGGGUUACUCGUGUGGGCAGCCUACUUGACUUACACUUGUGUGGGCUUGUGUGCAUGAUCCUCUUAUGCGUAGGCGGGCUCAGUUUGCCACGUGGGGCUGUUUGUCGAGGCAUCCUUCACGGGUCGAGGGCCAUGAGGGCUGAACAACCACAUGCCUUUCUCCAUAGGCUCUAAGAUCACCCUAAAAGCCUAUUCCUCAUCUGCUCCUUCUGCCAUUUAGGCCACUCAAUUUGGAGGCUCGUAUGUCCAACCCUUCUUAAUAGCAUCAAAUGAUCCAUCUCACUUGGUCGAAGCUCUUUUGGAUAAGAUCUUUCUGUCUAAAUGGGUCAUGUUUUAUCUCUCC
This 1011-nucleotide long non-coding RNA is filed under the name Carica papaya (papaya). RNAcentral's name for it is "long non-coding RNA (CPAP_LNC002297)". The record is from RNAcentral. Lineage: Eukaryota; Viridiplantae; Streptophyta; Magnoliopsida; Brassicales; Caricaceae.